This 471-nucleotide ribosomal RNA is filed under the name uncultured bacterium. RNAcentral's name for it is "bacterial SSU rRNA". It matches the Rfam family "Bacterial small subunit ribosomal RNA", at positions 329 to 793 of the family's 1533-position model. The record is from RNAcentral.
GCAGAGCAUCCUACGGGAGGCAGCAGUGGGGAAUAUUGCCCAAUGGGCGCAAGCCUGAUGCAGCCAUGCCGCGUGUAUGAAGAAGGCCUUCGGGUUGUAAAGUACUUUCAGCAGUGAGGAAGGUGGGUAUGUUAAUAGCAUAUUCAUUUGACGUUAGCUGCAGAAGAAGCACCGGCUAACUCCGUGCCAGCAGCCGCGGUAAUACGGAGGGUGCGAGCGUUAAUCGGAAUUACUGGGCGUAAAGCGCAUGCAGGUGGUUUGUUAAGUCAGAUGUGAAAGCCCGGGGCUCAACCUCGGAAUUGCAUUUGAAACUGGCAAACUAGAGUACUGUAGAGGGGGUAGAAUUUCAGGUGUAGCGGUGAAAUGCGUAGAGAUCUGAAGGAAUACCGGUGGCGAAGGCGGCCCCCUGGACAGAUACUGACACUCAGAUGCGAAAGCGUGGGGAGCAAACAGGAUUAGAUACCCUGGUAG